Molecule: ribosomal RNA, 253 nt
Filed under: uncultured bacterium
Lineage: Bacteria
Description: partial 16S ribosomal RNA
Rfam family: Bacterial small subunit ribosomal RNA
Source: RNAcentral
UACGGAGGGAGCUAGCGUUGUUCGGAUAUACUGGGCGUAAAGCGCACGUAGGCGGCGCCGUAAGUCAGGGGUGAAAUCCCGGAGCUCAACUCCGGAACUGCCCUUGAAACUGCAGUGCUAGAAUCCUGGAGAGGCGAGUGGAAUUCCGAGUGUAGAGGUGGAAUUCGUAGAUAUUCGGAAGAACACCAGUGGCGAAGGCGACUCGCUGGACAGGUAUUGACGCUGAGGUGCGAAAGCGUGGGGAGCAAACAGG